GAGAGAGCUAAGCUGAGAACGGAAGAGACCAGAGACGGAGGUAAAAGUAAGCAAUCGAGUAGUUUCCCGUCUCUGACAGAGUGAGAAGAAGGAAAGAGAGAGCCUCAAAGGAGAUCGACUUAGGCGAGGGGGACGCUCGACGGUCGUCGGAGAUGAAGAGAAGUAGAGAACAGAGGGGGUUGGGUGAGCAGUCUAUUGAGGCUGCAACGAAGGAUUGAGCCUAGCGGCUUUGAGAGAUGGUGAGAGGUUAGGGUUUUCUUUU
This 262-nucleotide unclassified non-coding RNA is filed under the name Hevea brasiliensis (rubber tree). The record is from RNAcentral. Lineage: Eukaryota; Viridiplantae; Streptophyta; Magnoliopsida; Malpighiales; Euphorbiaceae.